AUAGCGUAUAUUAAAGUUGUUGCAGUUAAAAAGCUCGUAGUUGAACUUCAGACCUGGUUGGGCGGUCCGCUUAACGGCGUGUACUGUUCGACUGGGCCUUACUUCUUGGUGAGCUGGCGUGCCCUUUACUGGUGUGCGUCGGGGAACCAGGACUUUUACCUUGAGAAAAUUAGAGUGUUCAAAGCAGGCCUAUGCCCGAAUACAUUAGCAUGGAAUAAUAAAAUAGGACGUGCGGUUCUAUUUUGUUGGUUUCUAGAGUCGCCGUAAUGAUUAAUAGGGAUAGUUGGGGGCAUUGGUAUUGAGUCGCUAGAGGUGAAAUUCUUGGAUUGACUCAAGACCAACUACUG
Molecule: ribosomal RNA, 347 nt
Filed under: uncultured eukaryote
Lineage: Eukaryota
Description: SSU rRNA
Rfam family: Eukaryotic small subunit ribosomal RNA
Source: RNAcentral